GAUGAACGCUGGCGGCGUGCUUAACACAUGCUUUUCGAACGGGAAACAUUUUAUUGAAGCUUCGGCAGAUUUAGCUUGUUUCUAGUGGCGGACGGGUGAGUAACUUGUGGGUAACCUGCCUCACACUGGGGGAUAACAGUCAGAAAUGGCUGCUAAUACCGCAUAAGCGCACAGCAUCGCAUGAUGCAGUGUGAAAAACUCAGGUGGUGUGAGAUGGACCCGCGUUGGAUUAGCUAGUUGGCAGGGCAGCGGCCUACCAAGGCGACGAUCCAUAGCCGGCCUGAGAGGGUGAACGGCCACAUUGGGACUGAGACACGGCCCUUACUCCUACGGGAGGCAGCAGUGGGGAAUAUUGGACAAUGGACCAAAAGUCUGAUCCAGCAAUUCUGUGUGCACGAUGAAGUUUUUCGGAAUGUAAAGUGCUUUCAGUUGGGAAGAAGAAAGUGACGGUACCAACAGAAGAAGCGACGGCUAAAUACGUGCCAGCAGCCGCGGUAAUACGUAUGUCGCAAGCGUUAUCCGGAUUUAUUGGGCGUAAAGCGCGUCUAGGCGGUUUGGUAAGUCUGAUGUGAAAAUGCGGGGCUCAACUCCGUAUUGCGUUGGAAACUGCCAAACUAGAGUACUGGAGAGGUAGGCGGAACUACAAGUGUAGAGGUGAAAUUCGUAGAUAUUUGUAGGAAUGCCGAUGGGGAAGCCAGCCUACUGGACAGAUACUGACGCUAAAGCGCGAAAGCGUGGGUAGCAAACAGGAUUAGAUACCCUGGUAGUCCACGCCGUAAACGAUGAUUACUAGGUGUUGGGGGUCGAACCUCAGCGCCCAAGCUAACGCGAUAAGUAAUCCGCCUGGGGAGUACGUACGCAAGUAUGAAACUCAAAGGAAUUGACGGGGACCCGCACAAGCGGUGGAGCAUGUGGUUUAAUUCGAAGCAACGCGAAGAACCUUACCAAGUCUUGACAUCCCUCUGACCGCACCUUAACCGGUGCUUUCCUUCGGGACAGAGGAGACAGGUGGUGCAUGGUUGUCGUCAGCUCGUGUCGUGAGAUGUUGGGUUAAGUCCCGCAACGAGCGCAACCCUUAUCCUUAGUAGCCAGCGGUUCGGCCGGGCACUCUGGGGAGACUGCCAGGGAUAACCUGGAGGAAGGUGGGGAUGACGUCAAAUCAUCAUGCCCCUUAUGAUUUGGGCUACACACGUGCUACAAUGGCGUAAACAAAGGGAAGCGAUCACGUGAGUGUAAGCAAAUCUCAAAAAUAACGUCCCAGUUCGGACUGUAGUCUGCAACCCGACUACACGAAGCUGGAAAAGGGAGUAAUCGCAGGUCAGCAUACUGCGGUGA
Molecule: ribosomal RNA, 1335 nt
Filed under: uncultured bacterium
Lineage: Bacteria
Description: partial 16S ribosomal RNA
Rfam family: Bacterial small subunit ribosomal RNA
Source: RNAcentral